Molecule: ribosomal RNA, 410 nt
Filed under: uncultured microorganism
Description: bacterial SSU rRNA
Rfam family: Bacterial small subunit ribosomal RNA
Source: RNAcentral
CAGCCGCCGCGGUAAUACGUAGGUGGCAAGCGUUGUCCGGAAUUAUUGGGCGUAAAGCGCGCGCAGGCGGUUCCUUAAGUCUGAUGUGAAAUCUCGCGGCUCAACCGCGAGCGGCCAUUGGAAACUGGGGAACUUGAGUGCAGGAGAGGGGAGCGGAAUUCCACGUGUAGCGGUGAAAUGCGUAGAGAUGUGGAGGAACACCAGUGGCGAAGGCGGCUCUCUGGCCUGUAACUGACGCUGAGGCGCGAAAGCGUGGGGAGCGAACAGGAUUAGAUACCCUGGUAGUCCACGCCGUAAACGAUGAGUGCUAAGUGUUAGAGGGUAUCCACCCUUUAGUGCUGUAGCAAACGCAUUAAGCACUCCGCCUGGGGAGUACGGCCGCAAGGCUGAAACUUAAAGGAAUUGGCGGG